Molecule: ribosomal RNA, 680 nt
Filed under: fungal endophyte
Lineage: Eukaryota; Fungi
Description: eukaryotic LSU rRNA
Rfam family: 5.8S ribosomal RNA (bases 181-334)
Source: RNAcentral
AUUAAAGAGUUCUAUAACUCCCAAACCCAUGUGAACAUACCUAACGUUGCCUCGGCAGGUCGCACCUACCUUGUAGCACCCUACCCUGUAGGGCCUACCCGGGAGGUGCGGGUAAGCCUGCCGGCGGCCCACCAAACUCUGUUUGAUAUUGAAUUCUGAACCUAUAACUAAAUAAGUUAAAACUUUCAACAACGGAUCUCUUGGUUCUGGCAUCGAUGAAGAACGCAGCGAAAUGCGAUAAGUAAUGUGAAUUGCAGAAUUCAGUGAAUCAUCGAAUCUUUGAACGCAUAUUGCGCCCAUUAGUAUUCUAGUGGGCAGGACCGUUCGAGCGUCAUUUCAACCCUUAAGCCUUCGUUGCUUAGUGUUGGGAGCCUACGGCAACGUAGCUCCUCAAAGUUAGUGGCGGAGUUGGUUCACACUCUAGACGUAGUAAUUUUUUAUCUCGCCUAUUAGUUGGACUAAUCCCCUGCCGUAAAACCCCCAAUUUAUCAAGGUUGACCUCGAAUCGGUUCAGACAAACUCGCUAAAUUGAAGCAUCUUAGUCAGCGAAGGAAAAGAAACCAACAGGGAUUGCCCUAGUAACGGCGAGUGAAGCGGCAACAGCUCAAAUUUGAAAUCUGGCCCUCGGGUCCGAGUUGUAAUUUGUAGAGGAUGCUUUUGGCGCGGUGCCUUCCGAGUUC